This 466-nucleotide ribosomal RNA is filed under the name Alcaligenaceae bacterium BTRH65. Its description in RNAcentral is "bacterial SSU rRNA". It matches the Rfam family "Bacterial small subunit ribosomal RNA", at positions 30 to 487 of the family's 1533-position model. Lineage: Bacteria; Pseudomonadati; Pseudomonadota; Betaproteobacteria; Burkholderiales; Alcaligenaceae. The record is from RNAcentral.
AUUGAACGCUAGCGGGAUGCCUUACACAUGCAAGUCGAACGCCAGCACGGAUUUCGGUCUGGUGGCGAGUGGCGAACGGGUGAGUAAUGUAUCGGAAUCGUGCCUAGUAGCGGGGGAUAACUACGCGAAAGCGUAGCUAAUACCGCAUACGCCCUCACGGGGGAAAGCAGGGGAUCGCAAGACCUUGCACUAUUAGAGCGGCCGAUAUCGGAUUAGCUAGUUGGCGGGGUAACGGCUCACCAAGGCGACGAUCCGUAGCUGGUUUGAGAGGACGACCAGCCACACUGGGACUGAGACACGGCCCAGACUCCUACGGGAGGCAGCAGUGGGGAAUUUUGGACAAUGGGGGAAACCCUGAUCCAGCCAUCCCGCGUGUGCGAAGAAGGCCUUCGGGUUGUAAAGCACUUUCGGCAGGAAAGAAACGUCAUGGGCUAAUACCCCGUGAAACUGACGGUACCUGCAGAAU